This 339-nucleotide ribosomal RNA is filed under the name uncultured bacterium. Its description in RNAcentral is "bacterial SSU rRNA". It matches the Rfam family "Bacterial small subunit ribosomal RNA", at positions 1 to 334 of the family's 1533-position model. The record is from RNAcentral.
GCGUCGUCUUCAGAGUUUGAUCCUGGCUCAGGACGAACGCUGGCGGCGUGCCUAACACAUGCAAGUCGAACGGGGUAAGAGACUUCGGUUUUUUACUUAGUGGCGAACGGGUGAGUAACGCGUGAGGAACCUGCCUUUCAGUGGGGGACAACAGUUGGAAACGACUGCUAAUACCGCAUAAUGUUUUUGAACCGCAUGGUUUAAGAACCAAAGCUUUAUGUGCUGAAAGAUGGCCUCGCGUCUGAUUAGCUAGUUGGUGGGGUAACGGCCCACCAAGGCGACGAUCAGUAGCCGGUCUGAGAGGACGAACGGCCACAUUGGGACUGAGAUACGGCCCAG